CAGUAGCGGUAAUACGAAGGGUGCAAGCGUUACUCGGAAUUACUGGGCGUAAAGCGUGCGUAGGUGGUGGUUUAAGUCCGUUGUGAAAGCCCUGGGCUCAACCUGGGAAUUGCAGUGGAUACUGGGUCACUAGAGUGUGGUAGAGGAUAGUGGAAUUUCCGGUGUAGCAGUGAAAUGCGUAGAGAUCGGAAGGAACAUCUGUGGCGAAGGCGACUAUCUGGGCCAACACUGACACUGAGGCACGAAAGCGUGGGGAGCAAACAGGAUUAGAUACCCGCGUAGUCCCUGUCUCUUAUACACA
This 301-nucleotide ribosomal RNA is filed under the name uncultured bacterium. RNAcentral describes it as "partial 16S ribosomal RNA". It matches the Rfam family "Bacterial small subunit ribosomal RNA", at positions 512 to 810 of the family's 1533-position model. The record is from RNAcentral.